CCUUGACGUAGAACCUUUUAAAAUCUUCUCUUUAAAGCUGUUCCUUAGAGCAAUCACUCUUUUCUGAAAAUAAAACAAGCAAACAAACAAGACAAAAAAACCCCCCAAAAAAACAGUUCAUAAUGUUUUUGUUUUGAAUGGAGCCUAGACUGACCUGCAUAGCUACUUUUUAACAAUAUCAGUGUAAACAAUUAACUCAUUAAAUAAUUUCAAUAUGCAUUUGGAGCUAGAACAGUUGAUCUAUGCUGCUUAAAGGAGUUCAGCUAUAAAGUGAACUUUUUCAAAAGUCAUUAGAGAAUAAAUUUCUGCAGUUCUUUCAUUCUAUGCUAGAGAAUAAACUGUAGAAUUAAAAUCCCUGGGGUUUUUUGGGGUUGGGGGGGUUUUGUUUUUUGUUUUGGUUUUUUUUUUCUUUUUUCUUUUUCUUCUCUCUGAUAGGUAUUUUGCAUGUUGGGUAUCAGCUUUAGUGGUGUGGGAAAAAUGCUGCAAGUCCCUCCAAAAUUCCUUCUUUGUAGAUGCUGGAUAUUCAUGUAGUAAUUUACCCUUGGAAAGCAUAAUAACAGAGUGAGGUUGCUGCAGGAGCAGACCAGGACAAGAUGUGACCCCUGUUUCACAUUCUGUUUUGUGUCCUUGCUCUAGAAGAACUUAGCUGCAAUGGGCUUUUCUCUCACACCUGCAGCAGCUCUGGGAGACAAGCUGAUGCAGCAGGAUGGCAGCCAAAGAGGCUUUAGCUCCAUGCAUCUUCUCUGGUACCAGAGCAACAGGGCAUAUAGACAUUAAUAUACUCCAGUCUUGUCAGGCAGUUGUGGAACAGAGCUUGUUAGGCCUUCAUGUGCCUUUUAUUGCAAAACCACUACUGAGAUCUGGGCUUAUAAAAUUAAACAUAUUAAUUUCCUGCCCUCCCUCAAAACUUCUCCAUGUGAAAAGAUGGAAGGAAUAGAAAAAUCUGUCCAAGGUAGUCUUCCCCAAGACUGCCAGAACCCUGGAUGUGACUGAGCUCACAAAUUCAUCCUGUGAGAGACCUCAGAUUUAGUCUUGACACGUGGAUCAAGGUGUACAUGAUAAGAGCAACAACAGCAAUUAAAGUAUUUAUUGUAACAUGAUCUAGUAUUAUUUUUAAUUUGGAAGACAGCCAAACUGCUUCUGUGAAUCCAAUUUUUCUCCCUUUCCCUUUGCAUUGCACUACUAAAACCAGUAAUAAAAUGUGGAG
RNAcentral lists this long non-coding RNA (1207 nucleotides) under Cyanistes caeruleus (blue tit). RNAcentral describes it as "lncRNA (ENSCCEG00000010675.1)". The record is from RNAcentral. Lineage: Eukaryota; Metazoa; Chordata; Aves; Passeriformes; Paridae.